RNAcentral lists this long non-coding RNA (162 nucleotides) under Taeniopygia guttata (zebra finch). RNAcentral's name for it is "lncRNA (ENSTGUG00000021366.1)". Lineage: Eukaryota; Metazoa; Chordata; Aves; Passeriformes; Estrildidae. The record is from RNAcentral.
UGAAGGCCAGAAAGCACUGCUGGGAUGCUGCUGCCAUCCUGGCUGUGUAAGGACCCAGUGUCACAGCAGGAGAGCACCAGCUGGAACUGCGCUUGGGCUGGGUGCAAUGCUGGAGUCACCAGGAUUCACUGGAGUUCAGGAAAAGAAGAGCUGGGAACAAUG